AGAGUUUGAUCCUGGCUCAGAGCGAACGCUAGCGGCGUGGAUUAGGCAUGCAAGUCGAACGAUCUAAUAUUAAUUUGCUUGCAAAUUAGUUGAGGAGAGUGGCGUAAGGGUGAGUAACACGUGGGCAACCUGCCCUUGUCAUGGGGAUAACCUUGCGAAAGCAGGGCUAAUACCGAAUAAUGUACUGCUUCGCAUGUUGCAGUACCAAAGGGUGCUCCGUAAGGAGUGUCGGAUAAGGAGGGACCCGCGGCCUAUCAGCUUGUUGGUGGGGUAAUGGCCCACCAAGGCUAAGACGGGUAGCUGGUCUGAGAGGAUGGUCAGCCACACUGGGACUGAGACACUGCCCAGACUCCUACGGGAGGCUGCAGUCGAGAAUCUUCCCCAAUGGGCGAAAGCCUGAGGGAGCGACGCCGCGUGAGGGAUGAAGGUCUUCGGAUUGUAAACCUCUGUUGCCCCGGAAGAAGUUCUGACGGUACGGGGUGAGGAAGCUCCGGCUAACUACGUGCCAGCAGCCGCGGUAAUACGUAGGGAGCAAGCGUUGCUCGGAAUUACUGGGCGUAAAGGGUGUGUAGGCGGAUGUAUAAGUCUAGGGUGAAAUCCUUCGGCUCAACCGGAGAACUGCUCUAGAAACUAUAUGUCUUGAGUGCAGAAGAAGGGAGUGGAAUUCUCGGUGUAGCGGUGAAAUGCGUGGAUAUCGAGAAGAACACCAGUGGCGAAAGCGGCUCUCUAUUCUGACACUGACGCUGAGGCACGAAAGCUAGGGGAGCGAAAGGGAUUAGAUACCCCUGUAGUCCUAGCUGUAAACGUUGCACACUUGGUGUAUGCCGAUUUUCGGUGUGUGCCGAAGCUAACGCGAUAAGUGUGCCGCCUGGGGACUACGGUCGCAAGGCUAAAACUCAAAGGAAUUGACGGGGACCCGCACAAGCGGUGGAGCAUGUGGUUUAAUACGACGCAACGCGUAGGACCUUACCAGGGUUUGACAUGCUGGUGGUACUCCGGUGGAAACAUUGGAGGACUUCUUUGAAGAGCCAGUGCAGGUGUUGCAUGGCUGUCGUCAGCUCGUGCUGUGAAGUGUUGGGUUAAGUCCCGCAACGAGCGCAACCCUUAUCCUUAGUUGCCAUCUUUGGAUUUAUCCGAAGGGCUCUCUAGGGAGACUGCCCGGGUCAACCGGGAGGAAGGUGGGGAUGACGUCAAGUCAUCAUGGCCCUUACACCCUGGGCUACACACGUGCUACAAUCCUUGCUACAGAGGGUCGCAAUACCGCGAGGUGGAGCUAAUCCCGAAAAGCAAGGCCAGUUCGGAUUGGAGUCUGCAAUUCGACUCCAUGAAGCCGGAAUCGCUAGUAAUGGCGCAUCAGCUACGGCGCCGUGAAUACGUUCCCGGGUCUUGUACACACCGCCCGUCACGUCACCCGAGUUGGCUGCACCUGAAGUCCCCCCCAAUUUUUUGGGGAGGCCCACGGUGUGGUU
Molecule: ribosomal RNA, 1469 nt
Filed under: metagenome
Description: bacterial SSU rRNA
Rfam family: Bacterial small subunit ribosomal RNA
Source: RNAcentral